Molecule: ribosomal RNA, 253 nt
Filed under: uncultured bacterium
Lineage: Bacteria
Description: partial 16S ribosomal RNA
Rfam family: Bacterial small subunit ribosomal RNA
Source: RNAcentral
UACGGAGGGGGUUAGCGUUACUCGGAUUCACUGGGCGUAAAGGGUGCGUAGGCCGAUAGAUGUGUCAGGUGUGAAAUCUCGGGGCUUAACCUCGAAACUGCGCCUGAAACUGUCUAUCUAGAGUAUUGGAGAGGUAAGCGGAAUUUCUGGUGUAGCGGUGAAAUGCGUAGAUAUCAGAAGGAACACCAAUGGCGAAGGCAGCUUACUGGACAAUAACUGACGCUGAGGCACGAAAGCGUGGGUAGCGAAAGGG